CUACGGGCGGCACCAGUGGGGAAUAUUGGACAAUGGGGGAAACCCUGAUCCAGCAAUGCCGCGUGUGUGAAGAAGGCCUGCGGGUUGUAAAGCACUUUCGGUUGGGAGGACUGCUUCUAGCACUAAUAUUGUUGGAAGUUGACGUUACCUUCAGAAGAAGCACCGGCUAACUCCGUGCCAGCAGCCGCGGUAAUACGGAGGGUGCAAGCGUGAAUCGGAAUUACUGGGCGUAAAGCGCGCGUAGGCGGCUAGAUCAGUCGGGUGUGAAAGCCCCGGGCUUAACCUGGGAACUGCAUCCCGAUACUGUCUAGCUUGAGUACAGGAGAGGAGAGUGGAAUUCCACAUGUAGCGGUGAAAUGCCUAGAUAUGUGGAGGAACACCAAUGGCGAAGGCAGCUCUCUGGCCUGAUACUGACGCUGAGGUGCGAAAGCGUGGGGAGCAAACAGGAUUAGAUACCCGAGUAGUC
RNAcentral lists this ribosomal RNA (466 nucleotides) under uncultured bacterium. RNAcentral describes it as "partial 16S ribosomal RNA". It matches the Rfam family "Bacterial small subunit ribosomal RNA", at positions 339 to 795 of the family's 1533-position model. The record is from RNAcentral.